GAACGCUGGCGGCGUGCUUAACACAUGCAAGUCGAACGGUGACGAGGAGCUUGCUCCUCUGAUCAGUGGCGAACGGGUGAGUAACACGUGAGCAACCUGCCCCAGACUCUGGGAUAACAGUUGGAAACAGCUGCUAAUACCGGAUACGAGACGGAGAGGCAUCUCUACCGUCUGGAAAGUUUUUCGGCCUGGGAUGGACUCGCGGCCUAUCAGCUAGUUGGUGAGGUAAUGGCUCACCAAGGCGACGACGGGUAGCCGGCCUGAGAGGGCGACCGGCCACACUGGGACUGAGACACGGCCCAGACUCCUACGGGAGGCAGCAGUGGGGAAUAUUGGGCAAUGGGCGAAAGCCUGACCCAGCGACGCCGCGUGAGGGAAGAAGGUCUUCGGAUUGUAAACCUCUGUUGACAGGGACGAAGGAAGUGACGGUACCUGUUGAGGAAGCCACGGCUAACUACGUG
Molecule: ribosomal RNA, 461 nt
Filed under: uncultured bacterium
Lineage: Bacteria
Description: bacterial SSU rRNA
Rfam family: Bacterial small subunit ribosomal RNA
Source: RNAcentral